Molecule: ribosomal RNA, 460 nt
Filed under: uncultured bacterium
Lineage: Bacteria
Description: partial 16S ribosomal RNA
Rfam family: Bacterial small subunit ribosomal RNA
Source: RNAcentral
CCUACGGGUGGCAGCAGUGAGGAAUAUUGGUCAAUGGACGCGAGUCUGAACCAGCCAAGUAGCGUGAAGGAUGACUGCCCUCUGGGUUGUAAACUUCUUUUAUAUGGGAAUAAAAUGUUCCACGUGUGGGUUUUUGUAUGUACCAUACGAAUAAGGAUCGGCUAACUCCGUGCCAGCAGCCGCGGUAAUACGGUGGAUCCGAUCGUUAUCCGGAUUUAUUGGGUUUAAAGGGAGCGUAGGUGGAUUGUUAAGUCAGUUGUGAAAGUUUGCGGCUCAACCGUGAAAUUGCAGUUGAGACUGGCAGUCUUGAGUACAGUAGAGGUGGGCAGAAUUCGUGGUGUAGCGGUGAAAUGCGUAGAUAUUAGGAGGAACACCAGUGGCGAAGGCGGCCUGCUGGACGACGACUGACGGUGAGGCGCGAAAGCGUGGGGAGCAAACAGGAUUAGAUACCCCAGUAGUC